AUGUCCAGCACGCCGAGCACUAGCGGCUUCCUUGAAGAGGCUUUGGAGGCGGACCUCGUCCGCGCGGACGGCCGCAGAGCGGAGGAUGAUGCCCGCAGAGAGCCGUUGGGGAGGUGGCGUGCAGAGAGGACGUCGGGCCGGUUGGGGAAAACGGCGGCGCGCAACAAGGCUGCAAGCAGCGGCGCCACCACGCAUAGCUCGAGUGCUGGUGGCGGCGUGCAUCACUACAUCAAGAAACCAGCACGACGGCGCAAGAAACGGGGCGGCGGCGCGCCGUGCGGGAGCGCAAGCAGCGGCGUGCAUCACUGGAGCGAGCAGAGGCGAGCCGCGGCAGCAGGAGACGAACCGCAGGGACGAGGCGCGGCCCACUCGACCGGCCAGCUCCGUCGCCGACUGCCGCAUCAGCCGCGCGACUCUACCCAUGCCCUGUGCUCCCCGGCGACGAGCCCCAUGCCGCGUGUUGCUGCUCUGCUUGGGCAGCCCAAAUCGGGAGCGGUGGCUGAUUGCGUUUUCUUCUUUUGUUUCAGGGGUGUGCAUGUUAAUUUUUUGCCAUGUCAGAUCCUUACAAUGAGGCCCCAUUUGUCAAAAAGCGAUCAAACGUACCAAAUUACCCGAUUAGUGCUUUUGUAA
Molecule: ribosomal RNA, 630 nt
Filed under: Triticum aestivum (bread wheat)
Lineage: Eukaryota; Viridiplantae; Streptophyta; Magnoliopsida; Poales; Poaceae
Description: partial small subunit ribosomal RNA
Source: RNAcentral